RNAcentral lists this ribosomal RNA (774 nucleotides) under uncultured Neocallimastigales. RNAcentral's name for it is "partial large subunit ribosomal RNA". It matches the Rfam family "Eukaryotic large subunit ribosomal RNA", at positions 24 to 631 of the family's 3401-position model. Lineage: Eukaryota; Fungi; Neocallimastigomycota; Neocallimastigomycetes; Neocallimastigales. The record is from RNAcentral.
UAUGUGAUCGUCUCUCGCAUAUCAAUAAGCGGAGGAAAAGAAACUAACAAGGAUUCCCCUAGUAACGGCGAGUGAAGCGGGAAGAGCUCAAAUUUGAAAUCUUAAAGGGUUUCCCUUUACGAAUCGUAGUUUAAAGAAGUGUUUUCUGUUGAGGUUUUGGUAAAAGUUCUUUGGAAUAGGACAUCAUAGAGGGUGAGAAUCCCGUAUUUGACCUUUACUUUCAACUUUGUGAUACACUUUCAAAGAGUCGGAUUGUUUGGGAAUGCAGUCCAAAAUGGGUGGUAAAUUUCAUCUAAAGCUAAAUAUUGGCGAGAGACCGAUAGCGAACAAGUACCGUGAGGGAAAGAUGAAAAGAACUUUGAAAAGAGAGUUAAACAGUACGUGAAAUUGUCAAAAGGGAAGCGUUUGACACCAGUGUUGUUUUUCUGAAAAUCAAUUAAAGAACUGUUUAUGCUAAGUUGUUUAGACUUUAUCAGCUAACUGUUUAGUUUUGAGCUUUUCUUUAAUGCACUUUUCAGUUAACAAGUCAACAUCAAUUUCUUUUGCUGUAAAAAAGCUUGAGGAAGGUGGCUUGAGAUUCGUCUUAAGUGUUUAUAGCCUCUUGCCUAUGCAGUCGGAGAGAUUGAGGUCUGCAGCGUAGAUCCUUCGGGGCUAAAUGCAUUUGUGCUAAGUUAUAGCAUUUUAUAGACAACUUGUUGACUAUGAUUUGUCUUGUAGCUUACUCGCUUAUGUUAUUUUACCUACGCUUAGGAUGUUGAUCUACAGAGCGAGAGU